GACGAACGCUGGCGGCGUGCUUAACACAUGCAAGUCGAACGAUGAAGUUCCUUCGGGAAUGGAUUAGUGGCGAACGGGUGAGAAACACGUGAGAAACCUGCCUUUCAUUUUGGGAUAACUCCGGGAAACCGGAGCUAACACCGAAUACUCCGUCUCGGCGGCAUCGCUGAGCCGGGAAAAAAUCUUGAUGAAAGAUGGUCUCGCGGCCUAUCAGCUAGUUGGUGAGGUAAUGGCUCACCAAGGCGACGACGGGUAGCCGGCCUGAGAGGGCGACCGGCCACACUGGGUCUGAGACACGGCCCAGACUCCUACGGGAGGCAGCAGUGGGGAAUAUUGGGCAAUGGGCGCAAGCCUGACCCAGCGACGCCGCGUGAGGGAUGAAGGCCUUCGGGUUGUAAACCUCUUUCAGUAGGGAAGAAGCGAAAGUGACGGUACCUAAAGAAGAAGCACCGGCUAACUAUGUGCCAGCCGCCGCAGUAA
RNAcentral lists this ribosomal RNA (480 nucleotides) under uncultured bacterium. RNAcentral describes it as "partial 16S ribosomal RNA". It matches the Rfam family "Bacterial small subunit ribosomal RNA", at positions 28 to 523 of the family's 1533-position model. The record is from RNAcentral.